RNAcentral lists this long non-coding RNA (6220 nucleotides) under Lactuca sativa (garden lettuce). RNAcentral describes it as "long non-coding RNA (LSAT_LNC010163)". Lineage: Eukaryota; Viridiplantae; Streptophyta; Magnoliopsida; Asterales; Asteraceae. The record is from RNAcentral.
ACCAGCUUAAUGCUGAUAAACUCUUUCAAAAUAACUUGUAUUCUCAGGUCAUCAGUAGACAGGUACCGAGGCCAGCUUUUGAGAAGAUGGAGCGCAUCCAAGACUCAUCUUAUUAUUUUGAUUUACAUUAUUUUUUUGGUGUCUAUAACUGUACAGAACACACUUGUAUUAAAAUUAUAUAUUUAAUGCAAUGGAUGAUGUUGUUUGCUUAUUUACAUUUACUGUGUUGUGAUACUUUACAUGACGUCCUCUGCCCCAGAACGUUUCCGCCAUUCUUGGUUUUGGGGUGUGACACCUUCUAAGGGUGACAAUAGCGGGUUGAUUCUAGCCUCGAGAGUUAUAUUUAUGAAGACUAUUUACUUUGUGUAAAUAGGCAGAGGCUAGGCAAUAUUUCUACUGAGUCAGAGAUUUACGAGACGUCUGAGGUGAGUCUUCUCACUAUGCCUUACCCGAUGGGGUAACUAUGUGUGACCGAAGGGUCUUACUGAUGGGUUUUGAGCAUUGUAAAACUUCCUAAGUGUACAUGCAACCCUAAUAACCUUGAAUCUAUGUUUUCUCUAUAUACAUGCAAAUUUCUUUUUCAAGGUAAUUUCUAACUAGCAUGGCAUGGGGAUUACAUAAACAUAAAAACUAGUAGAAAUACAUACCCUGUUGUUGCUUCGAUUCCUUCAAGACUUUUGUAAGCCUAGCACCCCAAAUGUUGUGCCUCAAAUGAUUCACACAACACUACAAACUUGGAAUAACUUGAGAGAGCGUCACUUAGCCUCAAAAAUCAGUUAUGCUCUCUUAUCAAUACACUAGUUCCGAUUUUGCAUGCUAUAGGGUUUCUUUUAUAGUGUGUCAUAAUUAGGAGUUACAAAUGUAAACCCUAAUUGUCAUGACUCUUCAUUUCUCAUGACCCAUGGGUUUGUAACUCUCAUGGACUAUCCAUGGAGCACCAAAUGGUUACAUCCGUAACCCAUAAACCAUGGAUCAUUAAUCCACCAUAAAAGAAUUGAUGAUUGUCAUAAUCAACCUUAUAUAUUUAAUUAGUUUCAACUUGAUCACCAAAUUAAUACUCGAUUAAUACUUGAUCAAUAUUAAUUAAAUAAUAGUAUUAUUAAUAUAUUAGAACUUAUAAUAUAUUAAUAAUCAUAAGUGCCUUAUUCUCUCAUUUAGUCUAUCCAAGUAUUGCAAUGCCAUGCAACCCAAAUGGACCAUGCCGGGUCGGGUCAAGUACAUACCAAAUAAAGUUAUGGACUUAGACACUAUAUCCAACAGUCUCCCACUUGGAUAAGUCUAAUAACUAUAUUUGCAAAUAUGACUUCAAAAUCCGACUAGCAAUCGUAGCUCUUUCAAAGUCUCUCGGAACUGAGAUGAUGAUGAUACGCCAUUUAAGAUAAGUGAUCAUAUAAUCCUCUGUUCUCAUGAUAUCAGCCGGACAAACACAUGGAACAUGGUCUUACUUAUUGUCCAACAUUUGUUUCUCGAUCUCUGAUUUGUUUCGACAUAGAACUAAAUUGAACACAUCAAUUAGGUUCUGACCGGGCCCGGUACAUAGGUCAAAACCAAAUCAUCGAGGGGCCCAGAUAUCGCUUCUAUUUCUAGAAGGAACAGAUAAACUUCGACUGAUAUGCUUGUACUAACUACUUGUUGAAUUAUUCACAAAGGCACGUUUUAUAACAUCGAGUUACCAAUGCGUUUUCGUAUAAUCAAUGAAUAACCAACUCAUAGUCAACAACUCAUAUCUCUAGGUUUGAAGAUUUAUAUGAUAUUACCGUCUCACGAUCACUCGAGAUAAAUUCCAUGAAGUGAUGCAAGUGAGCGUGGGUUAAAUCCAAUACUCAGCCCUUAUGAGUACUCAUGAAUGUUGUAGCAACCAUUGCAUUGUCUAAAGCACUUUAGACAAAUCAUACAAGCCAAAUUCACGACAGUCUUGAUUCAUAUCUACUUCCAACAUAUGACUGACUGUGGAUGGUUUGAAUAACUUAGUCAUUCAGGAAGAAGACCUAGUUAUUCUGGAAGUCAAAACAUGCAUAGUGAAACACAAGAAUAAUACUAAUCUUAUAUGGCCCCAACACUUUGAGUGUAAAUAAAAACACCUUUUAUUUAAGCACCAUAUUGAUUACUCAUUAUUUAUGUUUCAAUUUAUCAACUUAAUACUUGAAUUAAAACAAUAGUCCUGCCAUGCUACAAGCAUGCACACUAUGUUUUUCCAAACAAAAGUUAUGUCAUUCUCCAUGUAUGCAUACUAUGUUUACAUAUGGUCCUCUCUUUGUGAAAUAGAUCAAUUGACAAUAUUCCAAUGAUUCUCAUUUCACAAUUCCAAUCCUUGUUGUAAAUACAAGAAUACCAAACUCUUGCCAUUUAUUGUAAUCUGUUAGAUUCUAAACUUAUAUGCAAUGAUCCCCUUGUAAUGACUAUGCACAGAAGUCACAAAGACUUGGCAAUAGACAUUACAAAGUAUUCCAAUGGAAAACAAUUCCUUGGAAAUGAAGUCUCAAAUUCAAAGUACAUUCCUUUGAGCAUCCUUCUUAGCAUUAAGUUCUUUAAUCUUACACAGAUUCAAAGAAUAACCUCCACCUACGGAGACAAUUCCAUAUUACCAUUUUGACCAUCACUUUUGAACAAGAUUUUCCUCUUUUCAAAAUAUGUCAAUAUGGUCCUUACUCUAUACUUCUAAUUGUCCAUGAGAAACUAAUCAUUGGUAAACCUCAGAUUGUCCUCGACAAGUUUGCUUAAUCAGUUUAGUCAUUUCUAGUUCUAAUCCCUUUUCCCUUCUUAAUGCCCUAAGCAUUAGGAAAAGUUAGAAUGGAUGAAUAUUAUAGUACAUGCAAUCGAUCCUAUAUCCGAAGCAUAUGGGACACGAUUCAUGCUAUAAAAUUUUUAUUUUCCAUGUUCUCGUAAUUCGAACUAUGAAGAGGUAUGUCGUAAUCAUAAUCAAAUUUUGAGAACGCAAUUCCAACAUAACAUUCAUAUAUAUCCUUGACUAAAGUUGAUAAAACUCAAUCUAAGCUGGUAGAAUUGGAAGGAAUUAUAAAAUCCUCUCCCUUAAUUAUAGACAACAACUUUUCGAAGCAAAUUGAAACUUUUGUUUUCUAUAAUUAACAUUGCUAACUUGCAAUACUUAACAUAAUCAUCAUUCUCCCACUAGCAUAAUGAUAACACUUUAUGCUCCCACUAGCUUUGACAUGUACUCCGAAAUCAACUAGACUUCUAGAAAUCAAUACUUUAUUGACUUUCUUACCAAAGUUCAUAUUUCUGAUACUAGAUUGCUUUGAUAAGACUUUAUCAAAAACGUACACCUUUCCUUAGAUAGCUCACAUGUCUGUCUAGACCUUUUGUAAUUCUCACUAGUUAGUGUGCCGGUUAACCACACACGCUCCACUAACUAGAUGAGAAUGCAAAUAUCACAACCGCUAUCUACUUAAAAUCUUCUUAUUGAAAGCGUUUCCUCACCAUCAUUUUCAUGAAUCGAAGAGAAACCUUAUGACACUUAGAUUUUAUGGUGUAUGUGUUCUUUUCCAUGUGAAUUUUUUCAAAACCAUAAUCACAAGACUAGGUUAGUGACACUUCCAAAUUCAUAUGGACUGAACUUGUGUAAUCUUAAUUUCUUGCCACCCGGCAGCACAAGGGCCUAACAUUGCUUCCAAGUUGUUAUGCAAACAGUCGAGAACUCUCAGGACUCCAAUGCAAAGCCAACCUUGACUGGCAUGAGCACAAAAUAUGUCAACAUGAUAGGUUACAAACCUCAAGUCGUGGGCUAGUGAUUGACAAAUCUCUUGAUUAGUUCUUGAGCCUAUCUUAAGAUCUUUUUAAGACUUUCACUGACCUCUUGACAUAUAUGAUUCUCUUUGUCAAGAGCCAUUCCUUGACAAAACAAAUAUUCAAUAGUUAGUGCGGAUUCUUAUCAAGUUAAACACUUCCCACAAUUGGACUUAGUUGGUCUUUGUUUUAUCCAAAACAUCACAACUAACCAAUCUCAAAUGUACAAGAGUAGGACACAUCUUACUCUACAUUCGAUAAGUGUUAUAAACUUUCUAAAGAUUAUGUCACUCAAUGGCUCAAUCUUGGAGUAUGACUCUAAGAUUUGAUUUUGAUGUAUGAAUUAUCUUUUGAUUUAACCAUUUCAACAACUCAUGAUUCCUCUCCUUAGCCAAACAAAUGAACUAAGGUGUCCUUAGAGGAUCAAUUGUGAUAUGGUUUCAUAAUCACUAAGAUAAUCAUAAAAGAAAAUACUCAAGUACUCUCCCAUCUCUUCAGAUUGGAGAAACUUUUAUCUUUCUUCCUUAUUUGAUUCUUCUUACUCAUUCUGUCUAUCAUUGAAACUCUUCAAUGAUCCAGAAUUAUACUUCAACUUUUAAGUAUAAGCAUAUUUACUAAAAUUUAGUAAAUCAUAAUGAAUAAUCGUAUCAACCUUUGUGGUGGACCUGAACAACACACAACCAAGUGUAACCAAUCUUUUAGUCCUUCACUCGAGUCACAUGCGAAUGUGAAUAAGGAAUUAGUCUUAAUUUACCAAAGAUGAAAAUUCUCAUUCAUCACACAAUACAACUUGCAUAAUUCCAAGUUUCUAUCCAACUGAAACUUGGGUGAUGCGAAUCUUUCCUUAUUUGGUAAAUUAUGACACUACCACUAAUGAAAGAAUCAAAUCCAUUUAUGUGACAACCCGAAAUUUCCAUUUUGUACGAACAUUAUCUAUUCAAUAGAAGCUAGUCCAGUUUCAAUGAAUUUCAGACUUUUCCGAAUAAGUUUGUGUACAUUAGGGUUUACGUUUAAGGAGAUAUCAGGAGAGUGGAUGCUCAUGGGUUUGUGAAACUUGAGCAUUUCAAAACUUCAUAAUGUUAGAGUCCAAUUCCAGAAUAAAAAUAUUUUUUGCCAAAAAUAUUUUAGGACUAUAAAUAGAUUUCUGAACUAAAUUCAUUCAUUAUUCACAUUUCCAACUAGAGAAAAGCCAUUUUCUCUCUCACGGAUCUUCGGGUUNACUACGAGAACAUAUACAACUAUACUAGGGGAGAACAUAUACAACUAUACUAGAAAGAGAACAUAUACAACUAUACUAGGAGGAGAACAUAUACAACUAUACUAGACGAGAAACAUUACACUACAUAUACAAGAAUACGUUAACAAUUGUGAUCCACUGUAUCGGAGCAUGCCUUAAAUGUCAUGGCCCGAGUUGUAGCCAGAAUUCUCUUGGAGGGAGAGCGUGAGUUUGCGUAUAGAUUUAUACUGGAUUGACUAUCCUACACCUUGCUGCUAGCUACAGCCGGACCUGCAGGUCUGCGGGUGCCAAACCUCAUUCCGUUAUUACGACCAUUCGUAUGUCGUUGUUACCAGUGGAUAGUAUGGUGCAAUUUAUCACAUUAUUGUUGGAAUAGUGUCUAAGGCUGUAACUAUAUCCGGUUGNNNNNNNNNNNNNNNNNNNNNNNNNNNNNNNNNNNNNNNNNNNNNNNNNNNNNNNNNNNNNNNNNNNNNNNNNNNNNNNNNNNNNNNNNNNNNNNNNNNNCCUAUAAUACAACACUACAGUACUACAAUGAUUUACCCAUUACAUUUAUUGAGUGAUUAUUUCACUUAAACAUUAAUGUACAAACUAUAUUUUGUUAAAUGAUAGUUACACUUGGGAAAUUUCACACUUUUACAACAAACGAGCAUACAAACCAGUUAGGCCUUGGUAGAAGGCUACUUUAAUAGAAAAUAUAGGUUUUUCUAAGAGAUUCAAACUUUUACAAACACUUACAUACAUUUUACAAACUUACACUUGAGACACGUUCAAACGUUUUGAUAACAAACAUCGACACUAAAAUACUUAUGAACUCACCAGCUUAAUGCUGAUAAACUCUUUCAAAAUAACUUGUAUUCUCAGGUCAUCAGUAGACAGGUACCGAUGCCAACUUUUGAGAAGAUGGAGCGCAUGCAAGACUCACCAUAUUAUUUUGAUUUACACUAUAUUUUUGGAGUCUAAAACUAUACAUAACACGCUUGUAUUAAAAUUAUAUUUUUAAUGCAAUGGAUGAUGUUGUUUGCUUAUUUANUUGUUGUUGAUAUUAAACAUGACGUCCUCCGCCCCAGAACGUUUCCGCCGUUCUUGGUUUUGGGGUGUGACAAUUUACGCAUAUUUCUUAUCAACGGAAACAUAUAAGCAACAAUGUUUUUCACAAAUGUCAUUGUAAGGAUACUUAAAAUAAAUAAAAUCAAAACCAUUUUCUUUUAUUUUAAAACUUUGCAGAAAACUUAUCCUUAC